AUUGAACGCUGGCGGCAGGCCUAACACAUGCAAGUCGAGCGGAGCAGCGGACGGGGGAGUAAUGCCUAGGAAUGUGCCUGGGAGUGGGGGAUAACGUCAGGAAACGGGCGCUAAUACCGCAUCCUAUCAGAUGCACCUAGGUCGGUGUAGCUAGUUGGUGGGGUAAAGGCCUACCACGGCGACGAUCCGUAACUGGUCUGGGAGGAUGAUCAGUCACACUGGAACUGAGACACGGUCCAGACUCCUACGGGAGGCAGCAGUGGGGAAUAUUGGACAAUGGGCGAAAGCCUGAUCCAGCCAUGCCGCGUGUGUGAAGAAGGUCUUCGGAUUGUAAAGCACUUUAAGUUGGGAGGCGUUACCAGCAGAAUAAGCACCGGCUAACUCCGUGCCAGCAGCCGCGGUAAUUC
RNAcentral lists this ribosomal RNA (407 nucleotides) under uncultured bacterium. RNAcentral's name for it is "partial 16S ribosomal RNA". It matches the Rfam family "Bacterial small subunit ribosomal RNA", at positions 30 to 526 of the family's 1533-position model. The record is from RNAcentral.